Molecule: ribosomal RNA, 380 nt
Filed under: uncultured crenarchaeote
Lineage: Archaea; Thermoproteati; Thermoproteota
Description: bacterial SSU rRNA
Rfam family: Archaeal small subunit ribosomal RNA
Source: RNAcentral
UAAAACCAGCACCUCAAGUGGUCAGGAUGAUUAUUGGGCCUAAAGCAUCCGUAGCCGGCUCUGUAAGUUUUCGGUUAAAUCUGUACGCUUAACGUACAGGCUGCUGGGAAUACUGCAGAGCUAGGGAGUGGGAGAGGUAGACGGUACUCGGGAGGAAGUGGUAAAAUGCUUUGAUCUCUCGAUGACCACCUGUGGCGAAGGCGGUCUACCAGAACACGUCCGACGGUGAGGGAUGAAAGCUGGGGGAGCAAACCGGAUUAGAUACCCGGGUAGUCCCAGCUGUAAACUAUGCAAACUCAGUGAUGCACUGGCUUUUGGCCAGUGCAGUGUUGCAGGGAAGCCGUUAAGUUUGCCGCCUGGGAAGUACGUACGCAAGUAUG